Molecule: long non-coding RNA, 997 nt
Organism: Homo sapiens (human)
Lineage: Eukaryota; Metazoa; Chordata; Mammalia; Primates; Hominidae
Product: long intergenic non-protein coding RNA 1913
Source: Ensembl
AAGGACAAAAUGCUUGGAGGAGCAACAGACACCCUGAGACCAUGAAGACAGGACGAAGUCACACACUAAGAUCUGAGGCCCAGGGUCACCACAAACCCGGGAGACAUGAGGCCAGGCCUGAGAGGCACAGGCAGGCUGAGGAAUGGACAGAAGAGCAACAGAGAAGCCUGGAGGAUGAAAGCCAACUCUGCAAAGAGCUUCCAAGAGUCUUCCUGCCACAGAAAUUCCACUUGGCCACAGAAAUGGCCCUGGCCCUGGGCCAGGAGAGAGGUGGCGACGAGCUGCUCAUGGCAAUGACUUUCAGUCAGCAUGUCUUACCUGUGCUUCCAAGGGUGGAGAUGCCACUUUGAGUAGGUCACUGGGUCAGGCAGGUCACAAACCAAGCUCCUCCUACACAGUGAGUUCACGGAGACAGAGAGAAGGAAGGGAAGGAGGUUCUCAGCUCUACUGAUUCCUUAGGUCAAGGAGGGACAGGGUCCCUGUACUUGGGGACCCUCCAGUCUGAUGGGAAGAUACAAGGCAACCCUCUUAGAGCCGUAGAAUGAAUGCCACCUAUAGUUCCUCCCUUCAGGAAGGAAAUCCAGUCUGAUGGAAGAGACACGGCCCCUGUUGUAUCAUUCUUGCCUUCUUACCCAUGUCACACAAGGGAGUGAAGGAGGUGGCAGGCCCAGGGAUAGGUCCAUUUCUGUGGUGAAUGGAGGCUUUCAGAGGACAUUCCCACAGCCCUGCUGUCAAGGGCCCCUUCCCCUUCCUCCCUCCCCGGCACGAUGCCUUACCCACUGGAAUGAAUCCUGAGCUCUGAGCCUAUUCCUAACACAUGAAUGCUGACCCCUUUGUCACGUCCCGCUUUCCCUCCAACUCUGUUUUUUGUUCUUUUUCCCACCCAGACUCGCCCUCCCCCACUUGCCAUUUCCCAAGCUCAUCCCGGGGAGACCAGACUCAAUGGCCCACUGGUGAUCUUGUUUUACAUGAGACAUUUCCAAAAAAGACCAAAAAA